UACGUAGGGUGCAAGCGUUAUCCGGAAUUAUUGGGCGUAAAGAGCUCGUAGGCGGUUUGUCGCGUCUGCUGUGAAAACUGGAGGCUCAACCUCCAGCCUGCAGUGGGUACGGGCAGACUAGAGUGCGGUAGGGGAGAUUGGAAUUCCUGGUGUAGCGGUGGAAUGCGCAGAUAUCAGGAGGAACACCGAUGGCGAAGGCAGAUCUCUGGGCCGUUACUGACGCUGAGGAGCGAAAGCGUGGGGAGCGAACAGG
This 253-nucleotide ribosomal RNA is filed under the name uncultured bacterium. RNAcentral's name for it is "partial 16S ribosomal RNA". It matches the Rfam family "Bacterial small subunit ribosomal RNA", at positions 524 to 776 of the family's 1533-position model. The record is from RNAcentral.